CUUUCAGCCACUCGCUCCGCGCAGUCAGCUCUGCUGACUCUUCCGGAGGAUUCUGGAAGGUUCCAGAGGGUGUGCCGCCGAGGCCCUGCGAGAGGGCGUUCCCUGGGGAGAACAUUCCAGAGCAAGAGGUCCAUACAAGCUCUGGGCUCAGCCAGAGCAGGGCAGAGAAGGGUCACAGGAUGAAGAGGACAGAGGGCAGAGAGACGACCGGAUGGGAUGACCAGCUGCAGAGAGGAGUACCCUCUCCACUGAGAACAGCAGAAGGCAAGACAACCUGUCCACAGAGAGGAGCUACCCUCUCUGCUGAGAGCUUCAGAGACCUGCAGAGACAUCUGAAUGACCUGCCUGCAGAGAGCAGCUUCCCUCUCUGGGGCCUCCUCUCUGCUGAAAGCUGAACACUCGAGAGACGACCUGCCUACGAGAGGAGCCACCCACUCCUCUGAGCUGUUCUGACACUAAAUACAACUUUUCUUCUUCACGCUUCACUUGUCUGCGUACCUCAUUCUUCCUAGACGCAGGACAAGAGCUCUGGCAAAGGCGCUGCAGCCACAGAGGUUUCCGGCCGGAAAAAUCGGCACCCCAGAGAUCCCAUGAGAACGUCACGUACAGCACUGAGACGGAGCCCUAAUGAAAACUGUGGCUCUGGGUGAUAAUGACGUUACUGUGGGUUCAUCAACUGUAGCAAAUUCGCCCUCUGCUGGGCGUUGUUGGAAAUGCAGAGGCUCUGGGGGGUCAGGUAUGUGGGAGCUCUCUGUACCUUUCUUGUAAUUUGAUGUGAACUUAAAGCUGCUCCAAAAAGAUAAAAUCUUGAAGAAAAGCGAAAAAAAAAAAAAGGAAGAGAGGAAAAAAUGACAGGCAGAAGGUCACGCCUGGCCCCUCAGUGCGCGUCCUCAGGCCUCUGCUCCCAGCUGGGGCUGGCAGGUGGUCGGGGGGGCACCCAGCUCCUCCACUCCCCACGCCCACCACAGCUUUCAAAGUUAGGAACACAGGCAGGGUGGAGGUGAAGUCCGAACAGAAAGAGGAGACUUAAGGGAGGGCGAGCCCUGACUUUGUUUCGUUUUUCCGAGGCGACAUUCGGUGCAGCUUUCUGGGUCCCCAAGGCUGACCCUGCUGCACCAUGAACCACACGUCCACACCCUCACUGUCUCCCGCUCAUGACAUCAGCUCACCUGAGACUGUCACCGAAGGCUCUUUAACGUGAAAUGAGUGGUUUUAACUAUUUUUAAGUACACAGUUGUGUGGCAUUAAGUGCAUUCACUAUGAUGUGUGGCCAUCACCAUCGUCCACCCUAGAACCCCUUCAUUUUCCCCAACAAAUUCUGUCCCUUUAAGCAAGUGCUCCCCAUCCCCCACCCCCUUCUACCUUCUGUCUCUGUGAAUCUGAUGACCGUCAGUCUCUGAGCACAGCCAUACCAUCGUGGGCCUUUUGUGUCUGGCUUACUUCACCGAGCAUAAUGUCCUCAGGGUUUAUCCGCAUUGUGGCAGGUGCCAGAAUCCCCUUCCUUUUUUAAAGGCUGAAUAAUGCUUUACCGUAUGGAUAGACCACAUUUUGUUUAUGCGUUCAUCCGUUAUCGGACGCUUGGGUUGGACCAUGUUUAGUGGGUGUGAAUAAGGCUGCCCUAAACACGGGUGCACAGGCAUCUGCCCAAGUCCCUGCUCUCAGUUCUUUUUGAGAAAUACCCAAAAGUGAAAUUGCUGGGUCAUAUGGCAGUUCUAUUUUUAAGGUUUUGAGGAGCCGCCACACUGUCUUCCCCAGCGGCUGCCCUGUUUUACAUCCCCUCAAGCAAUGUAAAGGGUCCCGGUGUCCCCACAUCCUCCAGUUUCUCCACAUCCCGAGCACUUGCUGUCUUCUAUUUUUGAUACUUGUUACCCUAAUGGCUGUGAGGUGGCACCUCAUUGUGGUUUUGAUUUGAAUUUCCCUAAUGACCUGUGAUAGUGAGCAUCUUUUCAUGGGUUUAUUGGCCAUUUGUAUGUCUUCUCUGAAGAAAUUGUCUAUUCAAGUCCUUUGACCAUUUUUGAAUCGAGCUGUUUGUUUUUUUGUUGUUGAGUUGUGGGGGUUCUUUAUACAUUACUGAAGGCUUAUUUUUAUGGUCCAAUAAUUCUUUAUAGCACUGGGUGCUCGCUAGCCAGAUGCCGUGAUUAUUUAUGGCCUGGGACUGCGGGUACACAUGUCUCCAUUUGGAGGCUCAGCCAACGUUUCUAGGUCUGUUAACUUGAAUUCAUCUUUUAAAUUGAAAAAAAGAUUUAUUUUCCUCCUUAUAACAGUCAAAUCUCCGCCUUUCGUGUUUCCAGGGCCAAGUACUAUCUGGGGGUAAAAUGUUAAAGCUCAGUGAGAAAUCCCUGGAUACACGGAGGUUACAUUUCAAAGGCCAGACCCCUGGUGAGAGCAGAAUAAUAGUGUCAUAAAUGGCGAUGUUGUAUUGUGCAGUUGAUAAAUUGAGUAAAUAUUUGCUAAAAGCCAGGAAACCCCCACAGCAAUAAGGACAAAUGAUGUUCAUCAAAAUGGCAGCCGUUUACUCAAGAAUUAGGCAGAACCCACGGCGGGAUGGACACUUGGACGUGCUCUCGGGACGGGCUGGCUAGGAAAGCUACAGCUGCAGAUGGAGCUGGGAACCUCGCCCUGCCCUGAAACCCAAGGGAAAAUCAGACUCCGAGGCACCGGUCGCCCUAAACCACCACAGAUGGGGUUUCCACCUUCCUAGGAAUAAGAGUGGAAUAUGCACCUGGGGGUGCAGCUUCGCCUUCCGCACAACAAGGGUCAGCGCCAAUGUUUCCCUGAGAUUCUCAGAGACCCAGAGCGCUGCCACCAGCGGCCUCCUGCCUCCCUGGAGCUCUUACCUCCCGCUCCCUCUCUCCGUCCAGGUGCUUACUUCUGGGAACUAAUCACUCAGUUUGUCUGAUUUUUUACUUUUAAAUCUCUUUCAAACCAUUGGUGCCUUUGCAGCUUCUUGUAGCCACCGUCAGAGCCAGGCAGCAGGGGAGGAGGAGGCUUGGACUGUGGUGCAGAAAACCCCGUCCAGCCUCACUUGCCUUGGGAAGGCUUUGAAAGGAUCAUUUAUACACUGGAGGAUUCCAUGAAGACUUUUUUUGGCCACCCUGAGUGGUUCAAGGUUCACCCUGUCUCUGUGAGGCUCGGCCUUGCCUUCUUUCAUCAAAAGAAAAACAGAAGCCAAGGCUGAGGCCUUGCUGACCGGUCCCUCCCGAGUCCCUUCCUAACUGGAAACGAUGAUUCAGUCCAGAACUCCGCCUGCUCAGUCCCUGCUGUAAACUUCGUGGCUCUCUUUAAGUGCUGCUAGAUGCCAAGCCAGGGAGACAGCCUGUAUCAUCAGUGCAGUCGCCCUGGGGGUGACACCAGGGAUGAUUAUGUAAAUUCUCAUAAAACCCACAGGCAAGUUUUGCUGCGGCCCGGCCUCCGGAGUCCUCCUGGUUGUAAGGGAAAGCACGAACUUGAGCGUGAAGACUCCAAAGCAGAAAAAAAGCAGAGCUCAGGAGGAAGCCUGCAGGGAAGGCCAAACCCUCCUGUGUGUGGAGCGGAGGUCAGGCUGGGGCGGGCGGCCACAGCUCCCCACCCUGGCCGCACCCCAGCCUGCAGAUCUGACAGAUGCAGGCCCCACUGCACCUGACAGUGCCGUGCUCAAAUUGCUCACUCAGCAAUGACAUAUUGGUGACCUGCCGGCAGCAGGCACUGUGGACAACACGUGGGGAGCACUGAGCAGGGCUACCUGCAGACGGCCUGGAAGCUCACCUUGGGCCGACUGGCAGCAGGUCACAUGGCCUCUCUUAAUUAAUCUAAUUUCCCACAAGGCAGCCGGGGGUUAUUCCAGGCAAACCUGAAUUCCUGCGUGGAACCUCAGGUGCCAACACCUGCACAUGUAAGCGGUGUCCAGGCUGCACCCUGGAGCCCAACCCUGGACCCCUUUGGGAUGGUGAGACCCUGGGCCUCACCCUUCUCACCUCUGAGUGAGGCUUCUCCCCUGACCCUGUUCCUUGUACCCCACCCAGAUGUUUUGGUAUUUUUCUGUACCCACAUCUCCACACACACAGUGGCACUUCUCACCAAGGACUUGUAAUCACAGAAAGCGAUGGACAGAGGCAGACGCAGCAAGGGUGAUGGGAGCUGGCGGAGAAGAUGGUCCAGGGUGCAGGGGCACCACAGAGGUUGUGACAUCACCUCAGGGUCCAAGACGUGCUUCCUAGGGGCCCCCUGGCGGUCUCCAGGAUGAGGGGUGGGCAGUGUGGGAGACCCCCAGGCAAAGGAGUGGCAGACAUUGACAGAAAGGAGUGGCAGACAUUGACAGUGGAAGGUCUGCGGGGAUGUGGGGGAGGUGCGCCGGGUGGGGAGGGGCCGCAGGCAAGGCCACAGUGUCCGGAUGGUCCUGUGAAGGAAGGGAGCCCCCAAACACAUUCACGUAGGGCAGUGCUGUGGGCAGAUGCAAAUUUUCAGAGUGUUCGCUGGAGAUGGAGGGGGCCGGACCACCCCCAAGUCUCAGGAGAAGUCACAGGGGAGGAGACUCUGGGACUCUGGGUUCAGGUAAAUACUUCGGGUUUGGCGUUGAUGCUCCUUUUGGGCAAUCUGUAGACUGAGUGACACCUGUCUCCCUGUCCACUCCCCUCCUACCCUUGUGAUUAUCCAUCAGUAUUUAUGGGCCUGGCUGGUCAGACCAAGCAGGCCACAGCACAGCAUGGAGCUCUAGGCCUCUGUGCGUCUCUGGUGUUUGGAUCCUAGGACCUGAAGGUCCAGGGGAGAAGUCGUCUGGGGGGUUGGGAGGCUCAGGGAAGAGGCUGCUUCCUGCUGUGGACUUGAUUAGCAGCCCCAUGGACAGUCACUGGACUGUUAGCGAGGCAGGAGUCCAGAGGAGCCAGGGUGACACCAUUUUAAAAUCAGCACCGUCUUAAACUAGCAAGGCACACUCCUUGCCACACACAAGCCAUGGUCCUAAGAUGUUUACAGCUAAGGAAGCAGCUUGGUGAUGCCUGCAAAGCAAACUCCAAGAACAGAAAGUCCAGACGUCCAAUACCCAUAAUUAGGUCUAUGCUUUCAAGAUAGUAAGAGUCAUGCUAUGAUGACUGACACACUAAAAUGUCAAGGAUGGUUUUCUUUAAACCAAUAGAAUGAUAAACCUUGUCAUGCUCUCUGCUCAGCUGCACAUAUGCACAGCUUCACUUCGCUUUGCAGACAAGACUUCUGUGUAAGAAAAAUGGAAAAAGAAGUUGGUGUGUCCUCUGCUUGCUUUCUGCUCUGUAACAGAGUCAUUUCUAAUAAACGUG
RNAcentral lists this long non-coding RNA (5267 nucleotides) under Homo sapiens (human). RNAcentral's name for it is "HSALNT0344532". Lineage: Eukaryota; Metazoa; Chordata; Mammalia; Primates; Hominidae. The record is from RNAcentral.